Molecule: ribosomal RNA, 400 nt
Filed under: uncultured bacterium
Lineage: Bacteria
Description: bacterial SSU rRNA
Rfam family: Bacterial small subunit ribosomal RNA
Source: RNAcentral
GGAAUUUUGCGCAAUGGGGGAAACCCUGACGCAGCAACGCCGCGUGAUUGAAGAAGCCCUUCGGGGUGUAAAGAUCUGUCAGUGGGGACGAAAGAUGACGGUACCCACAGAGGAAGCAUCGGCUAACUCCGUGCCAGCAGCCGCGGUAAUACGGGGGAUGCAAGCGUUGUCCGGAAUCAUUGGGCGUAAAGAGUUCGUAGGUGGUUUGUUAAGUUAGGUGUUAAAUGCAGGGGCUCAACUUCUGAUCGGCACUUGAUACUGGCAGACUUGAAUGCGGUAGAGGUAAAGGGAAUUCCGGGUGUAGCGGUGAAAUGCGUAGAUAUCAGGAGGAACAUCGGAGGCGAAAGCGCUUUACUGGGCCGUAAUUGACACUGAGGAACGAAAGCCAGGGUAGCAAAUG